Molecule: ribosomal RNA, 253 nt
Filed under: uncultured bacterium
Lineage: Bacteria
Description: partial 16S ribosomal RNA
Rfam family: Bacterial small subunit ribosomal RNA
Source: RNAcentral
UACGAAGGGUGCAAGCGUUACUCGGAAUUACUGGGCGUAAAGCGUGCGUAGGUGGUUUGUUAAGUCUGUUGUGAAAGCCCCGGGCUCAACCUGGGAAUGGCAAUGGAUACUGGCAGGCUAGAGUGCGGUAGAGGGAAGUGGAAUUUCCGGUGUAGCGGUGAAAUGCGUAGAGAUCGGAAAGAACACCAGUGGCGAAGGCGGCUUCCUGGACUCAUACUGACGCUGAGGCGCGAAAGCGUGGGGAGCAAACAGG